UUUCUAUUUUGUUUUCAAAACAUUUGUUAUUUUUUUUAUUUUAUUUCGUAAGUACAUGUAAAUACCAUGUAUUAUGUAUAAGAAUAUUUGAAUUCACCAUUCAAUUUCAUUUUGUUUCAGGCAAUCAUCGUAAUUCUUAUAACAUAUAAUGUCAACUUUCAAUAUUAGUCUAAUUAAUUUAUUUUCUUUUCAAAUCACGUAUCUACAAUUUGAGAAAAUGGUAUAGAAAUUAUUAGUUCAACUGAAUCACGAUAUGCAUGGACAAUGGUGAUCGGAUAACUUAAAUAAAGGUAAUUAUUUGAAAAAUAAAUAGUUUUCUAUUAUGAAAAGUGAGAUUAUUGUUUUUACAGUAAACCUUAUAAUUCAACUUUUGAGAAGUUGAACCAUUUCCAAGAAAAAAUAACCAUCCAUGUUCAAUAGACCUAUUUGUAUGAAAGUCAGCACUACAAAAUGGUAUUUUGGCCUUUUUUCUCACACUAUAUGCAUACAGGUAAAAUUUAACCUGUAGGUAUAAUUUAUUUUUAUGGAAACCAAUGAAACAUUUAUAUCAUGAACUUUCAAACAAAAAGCUAGUGGCGAAAUUAAUUUGUGAUUUUCCAUAAACAUAAAAGGCAAUGGGGCCAAUGCUUAAUGGUAUGCUUCCUUAAUAUAUGCCGGUGUUUGGUCUCAGUUUAUGAGAGAACUAUCCAACAACAAAUCUCACUUUAAAUUAGGGCUGUAAACUCGGUAAAGAAUUACUAAUCGAGUACAUGUUGGAUUUAACGAGCGAUUCUCGGGUACUCACUCGAAAAAAUAGUUCAAAGGAGCGAAAAGAUACGUAGGAAAUCGUUUUAUGACCCUAUCAAGUUGUUUUAAAUUCUCGUUGUCCUCGAAUAUAAACCCGUGUCAGUGCUUAUGUAAGUUGCAUAUUUGUCUUUAUGAUAUAUAGGUUUUUAUCAAUAAAACGACAUCAAAUAAUGUUAUUUUCUAUUUUAUAUUUCUUAAAACAAAAACAAAACCAAUGACUCUUGAAACAUUAAGAAAUAUAAAUACAAAUAAAUAAGGAAAGCCCAAGAAACUGAAAUAUAUAGUGUAAACCUACCUGAGACCACUUAAAUGACGGUCAGACCCCCCUGUUCGUUCAAUGUACAUAAAACUGGAUUAAUUCAUAGACUCUGUAUAUAUAAAGAAUGUAUCAAAAUGAUAUGUGAGAAUAAUGAUAUCUUCGAUAUCUAUGGAGGGCUUAGAUUGUAACUCUUCAGUUGAAAUUGUCAAAAUUUCAAAUCAAAGAGCACAGGGCAAUAAUGAGAGCCCCUCAUCUCUCAAUCUGCCUACACUUAAGCAGACAGUUAGUUAAUAGGUAGAUACAAAAAAGACUUAAAGGAAUUUAGAUACACUUUUUAUCUUUUAUGUUUACGGAGUGCCCAAAGUGCCGGUUGGAUAUUCAAAAUAUAUAGCGAAAACCUACCUGAGACCGCUUAAAUGACGGUCAGACCCCCUGUUCUUUCAAUGUACAUAAAACUGGAUAACUUCAUAGAAUCUGUAUAUAUAAAGAUUGUAUAAAAAUGAUUUGCAAGAAUAAUGAUAUCGAAAUUGAGGGCUUAAAUUGUCACUUUUCAGUAAAAAUUCUCAAAAUGUCAGGCCAAAGGGCACAGGGCAAUGGUGAGAGCCCCCAUGAUCUCUCAAUCUGCCCAAAAUUAGGCAGACAUUUAGUUAAUAGGUAAAUACAAACGAGACUAAAAGGAAUUUUGGUACACUUCCUGUCUUCUAUGUUUACGGAGAGCCUAAAGUGCCAGUUGGAUAUUCAAAAUAUAUAGCGAAAACCUACCUACCUGAGACCGCUUAAAUGACGGUCAGACCCACUGUUCUUUAAAUGUACAUAAAACUGGAUAACUUCAAAGAAACUGUAUAUAUAAAGAUUGUAUAAAAAUGAUUUGCAAGAAUAAUGAUAUCGAAAUGGAGGGCUUAAAUUGUCACUUUUCAGUAAAAAUUCUCAAAAUGUCAGGACAAAGGGCACAGGGCAAUGGUGAGAGCCCCAUGAUCUCUCAAUCUGCCCAAAAUUAAGCAGACAGUUAGUUGAUAGGUAAAUACAAACGAGACUAAAAGGAAGUUUGGUACACUUCCUGUCUUCUAUGUUUACGGAGGGCCAAAAGUGCCAGUUGGAUAUUCAAAAUAUAUAGCGAAAACCUAUCUGAGACUGCUUAAAUGACGAUCAGACCCCCUGUUCUUCCAAUGUACAUAAAACUGAAUGAAUUCAUAGACUCUAUAUAUAUGUAGAUUGUAUCAAAAGGAUUUUCGAGAAUAAUUUCAUCUUCGAUAUCUACGGAGGUCUUUUCAGCUAAAAAUUGUCUAAAUUUCAGGACAAAGGGCACAAGGCAAUGGUGAUAGCCCCCUGAUCUCUAAUUCUGCCUAUACAUACAGUCUAUUAUUUAGUUAAAUUUAAUGGACUUUGAAAGACUAGGAGGGUCUCACCAUUAUUUAAGCGCUGUCAGGUAGGUUUUCACUAUAUAUUUUUUUGGGGGGGGGGCUUUCCAUAAAUAUUUCCAUUUAUAUUCCUUAAUGUUUUCUAGAGUUAGCGAUUUUUCUUUUUGUUUUUCAGAAAUAUCAUGUAUAAAAGUACAUCUUUGAAGUUGUUUUUAUUAACAACAAUCUAUAUUACAUAAAGACAAAUAUGCAAGUUAAAAAAGGGUUUAUAUUCGAGAACAACAAAAAUUUAAGACAGCUUGAAGAGGUCAUGAAACAAUUUGCUACGUAUCUUAUUAGAUCUUAACUAUGAGAAUCAUGCUUUUAAUGUCAUGAAGUUGUUUAUUUAUGAUUUUCAACUUAAUUAUUAAUAUCCAACUGACUACUAGCAGCCGGUUGGAUAUUGAAUAUCGAAUAUCGAAUAUCGAAUAACCGGCUGCUAACGUCACAUACAUUUAUCCCUAGAACAAGACAUUAAAUUCAUGUGUUCUUAUUGUAAAAAAGCAAUAACAGUUUACAGGUCACUUAUAAGUCGAGUAUCAAAUUUAGUAUUGCAAAAGGCCGAUAAUACACAUGUUAAUAACUCCAUAGUGGAAAAAUCUGAAACUGCAAUUAAGAAUUGCUGAGUGCGGUAAAUAAAAUGAAUACACAUCAAUAGUUUAAGUAACUUUUGAAAAACAUUUUUCAACUCAGAAAUUUUGAAAAGCCAAGUUUCAUAUUGAAUAAGAUUGAAAUACAAUUCAAUUAUCUCCGUUCUGUUGCAAAUUAAACACGUAAUUGCAUAUUUCAAUCAUUGGUGUAGUGUACAAUCACAUAACAUAAAAAUUUCACGGAACUUUGUUGUCAUCUUCGGAACCAUAAGCAUUUGAAGUAUUUGUUAUCAAAAAAUGUAUAACAGAGUCUUUCUUCUUGCAAUCGUACUUUAGAAUAACAGAAUAUAUAAUGUAUAAGCAGGAGGCAAAUAACUUUCAGUUCAAAAAGUCCGAAUAUGUUCCUGAACGAUUUCUUAGAAAUGACAUGUAAAAUUGGAAAUUAUAUUUAUAUUUGAUUUAUCAAAUUGUGAUGUAUAAUACACUUUAGAAUAACACGACAUGCUUAAUAUGUAUUUCCCUAAAUCAAAAUAAACUUUUAGAUUCUGCUUAAAUAAACUUAUCUAGAAUAAAAUCUAAAACCAAUCUCAGAUCUGUUAUGUUUUUGGGAUGUAAGAGUACCCGUCUACGUCCAAUCUGUUUCUUGUUAGAUGUAUCUCUUUAUAUAUUCAUGACUUAAGCAUUUUUAAACUGGAUUUUAUAGUUUGUUCUUAUGUCGUACUGUUACACCACAGUCCCAGGUUGGGAAGGGUUGGCGCCUUCAAACUAGUUUAACCCCGUUACAUUUUGCAUGUGCAUGUCCAAAAUGGCCUGUUCUUCAGUGGUGGUCGUUUGUUGAUGUGUUACAUGUUUCCUUUUCGUUUAUAGUUUGUAUAUACAUUAGGCUAUUAGUUUAUUGAAUUGUUGGCUUUCAAAUUUUUGGGUUUUAGCUUUCAUGCUGAUGAUGAUUGUUUAUUCCAGGAAAAAGCAUCGGACUCAUACAAUUAAAAGAAUGUUAUUUUCAUUUCACAUUAUACAGCCAUAUUAUCAAACCAUAUGUAGUAUGUGAAGGUUUAACAUUGAUCAAUAGUUUUGAAGUGGUAUUAAUCAUAAACAAAAUGUAUCCCUUUUUAAAGAAAGUAAAACAGUUGUUUAUCAUUGAUCAUAUUUCAGCAACAACCGAUAUCUUGGUGAAUUACGAGUAACCAGCCAACCAAACCGAGUAUGGACGCAGUCGACAGUCUAGUGGAACACAGAGUGGUGUUUAUGACAAUAUUGCGAUUGGUGGUCAUACUAAUACUCAGAUGAAUUGCAAUAACGAGGAAUUAUACGAGAACAUUUAGAUAUUUCUUUUUUUUUUUAUUUCAUUAUUACUUUAAUUAUAGUGUAUUUAUGAUAAAAUAUAAUUACAUUUUAAUACCACAUUAGACAUUUUAGAAUUUCUAAAUAUCAAUGAUUUUUAUACAUCGGUUGUUAUUGGCUCUGAACAACUUAUCAGUGGCUACGAGUAUCCUCAAAUGUUUACUUUGUGUCUUUUGUGUUAUGAUGAAUAUAUUAAUACCCUGUCUGGUCUGUCCUUUUGUAAGAUGCAUUUCUGCUUUGUAUCGAUUGAAUGAGUUAUGUCUUUUAAAUUGAGUAGUUAUGUCCCUUUGCUUGUGAUGUAUUGUUACUUACCUGUUCAAGGUAAUGGUAUGGUUGGCGCGAAAGAACGUAUUGAACCGGCUACAUUAUAAUGUGCCUGUUCGAAGUCAGGACCAUGUUGAUGGCGUGUAAAUAAAACAUCGUCAUCCAUUCAAGUUCACACUAAGUAAGUGUUUCACAAACUGUUCCAGAAGAGAGGUGGAAAAUACAAAACGACGUUCAAACUCAUAAGUCAAAGACAAACUGGCAAUACCAUGGUAAGGAAAAAUCGACCAAACGACAGUCUACCAAUGACAAUAUAGAUUUCCAAAGAUUAAGCAGGGUGAAUGUAAUCUGGGAGAUAAAAUAACCACAUGUAGUUCAGCU
Molecule: long non-coding RNA, 5018 nt
Filed under: Mytilus galloprovincialis (Mediterranean mussel)
Lineage: Eukaryota; Metazoa; Mollusca; Bivalvia; Mytilida; Mytilidae
Source: RNAcentral